This 250-nucleotide ribosomal RNA is filed under the name uncultured delta proteobacterium. RNAcentral's name for it is "partial 16S ribosomal RNA". It matches the Rfam family "Bacterial small subunit ribosomal RNA", at positions 524 to 773 of the family's 1533-position model. Lineage: Bacteria; Deltaproteobacteria. The record is from RNAcentral.
UACAGAGGGUGCAAGCGUUGUUCGGAAUUAUUGGGCGUAAAGCGAGUGUAGGCGGGAUGGCAAGUCGGGUGUGAAAGCCCUCAGCUCAACUGAGGAAGUGCGCUCGAAACUACCGUUCUUGAGUGUCGGAGAGGGUGACGGAAUUCCCGGUGUAGAGGUGAAAUUCGUAGAUAUCGGGAGGAACACCAGUGGCGAAGGCGGUCACCUGGACGAACACUGACGCUGAGACUCGAAAGCGUGGGUAGCAAAC